UUUCUAAAGCUAAAUAUUGCCCAGAGACCGAUAGCGCACAAGUAGAGUGAUCGAAAGAUGAAAAGCACCUUGAAAAGGGGGUUAAACAGUACGUGAAAUUGUUGAAAGGGAAGCGCUCAUGACCAGACUUGUGCUGGGCAGCUCAUCCGGGGUUCUCCCCGGUGCAUUCUGCCCAGUUCAGGCCAGCAUCGAUUUUUGCUGGGGGAUAAGAACGGUAGGAACGUGGCCCUCCUUCGGGAGGGUGUUAUAGCCUACCGUACGAUACCCUAGCGGAGAUCGAGGUUCGCGCAUCUGCAAGGAUGCUGGCGUAAUGGUCAUCAGCGACCCGUCUUGAAACACGGACCAAGGAGUCGUCCAUUAGAGCGAGCGUUUGGGUGUAAAACCCGCACGCGUAAUGAAAGUGAAAUUAGGUGAGAGCUUCGGCGCAUCAUCGACCGAUCCUGAUGUUCUCGGAUGGAUUUGAGUAAGAGUUUUAACGGACGGACCCGAAAGACAGUGAACUAUGCUUGUAUAGGGUGAAGCCAGAGGAAACUCUGGUGGAGGCUCGCAGCGGUUCUGACGUGCAAAUCGAUCGUCAAAUAUGAGCAUGGGGGCGAAAGACUAAUCGAACUGUCUAGUAGCUGGUUACCGCCGAAGUUUCCCUCAGGAUAGCAGUGUUGACCUUCAGUUUUAUGAGGUAAAGCGAAUGAUUAGGGACUCGGGGGCGCUUUUUAGCCUUCAUCCAUUCUCAAACUUUAAAUAUGUAAGAAGCCCUUGUUACUUAGUUGAACGUGGGCAUUCGAAUGUAUCAACACUAGUGGGCCAUUUUUGGUAAGCAGAACUGGCGAUGCGGGAUGAACCGAACGCGGGGUUAAGGCGCCAGAGUGUACGCUCAUCAGACACCACAAAAGGCGUUAGUACAUCUUGACAGCAGGACGGUGGCCAUGGAAGUCGGAAUCCGCUAAGGACUGUGUAACAACUCACCUGCCGAAUGUACUAGCCCUGAAAAUGGAUGGCGCUCAAGCGUACCGCCCAUACCCCGCCCUCAGGGUAGAA
This 1035-nucleotide ribosomal RNA is filed under the name Coniella vitis. Its description in RNAcentral is "eukaryotic LSU rRNA". It matches the Rfam family "Eukaryotic large subunit ribosomal RNA", at positions 307 to 1365 of the family's 3401-position model. The record is from RNAcentral. Lineage: Eukaryota; Fungi; Ascomycota; Sordariomycetes; Diaporthales; Schizoparmaceae.